GGUGAGGUUCCCGAGUGGCCAAAGGGAUCAGACUGUAAAUCUGACGCGCAAGCUUCGGUGGUUCGAAUCCACCUCUCACCACCA
RNAcentral lists this transfer RNA (84 nucleotides) under Pontibacterium sinense. Its description in RNAcentral is "tRNA-Tyr". It matches the Rfam family "tRNA". Rfam says of the family: Transfer RNA (tRNA) molecules are approximately 80 nucleotides in length. Their secondary structure includes four short double-helical elements and three loops (D, anti-codon, and T loops). RNAcentral also lists the same sequence under 1 other name. Lineage: Bacteria; Pseudomonadati; Pseudomonadota; Gammaproteobacteria; Oceanospirillales; Oceanospirillaceae. The record is from RNAcentral.